Molecule: small nuclear RNA, 153 nt
Filed under: Chrysemys picta bellii (western painted turtle)
Lineage: Eukaryota; Metazoa; Chordata; Testudines; Emydidae
Description: U4 spliceosomal RNA (ENSCPBG00000010692.1)
Rfam family: U4 spliceosomal RNA (bases 1-74)
Source: RNAcentral
GCUCAAGACCUGUGGCAGUAUCGUAGCCAAUGAGGUUAAUCCGAGGCACGAUUAUUGCUAAUUGGGAACUCUGAGUUGGCUUCUUAAAUACCUUCCUGCUGUUUCACAUCUGAUACUCUUUGAUGAAACAUAGGAGCCUUGUCUUAUAACAGG